UACGGAGGGUGCAAGCGUUGUCCGGAUUCAUUGGGCGUAAAGCGCGUGUAGGCGGUUCGGUAAGUCCGCUCUGAAAGUCCGGGGCUCAACCCCGGGAGGCGGGUGGAUACUGUCGAACUAGAGUGCGGAAGAGGCGAGUGGAAUUCCCGGUGUAGCGGUGAAAUGCGCAGAUAUCGGGAGGAACACCAAUUGCGAAGGCAGCUCGCUGGGACGUGACUGACGCUGAGACGCGAAAGCAUGGGGAGCGAACAUG
This 253-nucleotide ribosomal RNA is filed under the name uncultured bacterium. RNAcentral's name for it is "partial 16S ribosomal RNA". It matches the Rfam family "Bacterial small subunit ribosomal RNA", at positions 524 to 776 of the family's 1533-position model. The record is from RNAcentral.